RNAcentral lists this ribosomal RNA (492 nucleotides) under uncultured bacterium. Its description in RNAcentral is "partial 16S ribosomal RNA". It matches the Rfam family "Bacterial small subunit ribosomal RNA", at positions 29 to 507 of the family's 1533-position model. The record is from RNAcentral.
AGUGAACGCUGGCGGUAGGCCUAACACAUGCAAGUCGAACGGCAGCACAGUAAUAGCUUGCUCUUACGGGCGGCGAGUGGCGGACGGGUGAGGAAUACAUCGGAAUCUACUUUUUCGUGGGGGAUAACGUAGGGAAACUUACGCUAAUACCGCAUACGACCUACGGGUGAAAGCAGGGGAUCUUCGGACCUUUCGCGAUUGAAUGAGCCGAUGUCGGAUUAGCUAGUUGGCGGGGUAAAGGCCCACCAAGGCGACGAUCCGUAGCUGGUCUGAGAGGAUGAUCAGCCACACUGGAACGGAGACACGGUACAGACUCCUACGGGAGGCAGCAGUGGGGAAUAUUGGACAAUGGGCGCAAGACUGAUCCAGCCAUACCGCGUGGGAGAAGAAGGCCUUCGGGUUGGAAAGCCCGUUUGUUGGGAAAGAAAAGCAGCAGGUUAAUACCCAGCUGUUCUGACGGUACCCAAAGAAUAAGCACCGGCUAACUUCGUG